This 253-nucleotide ribosomal RNA is filed under the name uncultured bacterium. RNAcentral describes it as "partial 16S ribosomal RNA". It matches the Rfam family "Bacterial small subunit ribosomal RNA", at positions 524 to 776 of the family's 1533-position model. The record is from RNAcentral.
UACGUAGGGCGCAAGCGUUAUCCGGAAUUAUUGGGCGUAAAGAGCUCGUAGGCGGUCUGUUGCGUCGGCUGUGAAAACCCGGGGCUCAACUCCGGGCCUGCAGCCGAUACGGGCAGACUAGAGUUCGGCAGGGGAGACUGGAAUUCCAGGUGUAGCGGUGAAAUGCGUAGAUAUCUGGAGGAACACCGGUGGCGAAGGCGGCAUCCUGGACCGGCAUUGACGCUGAGGCGCGAAAGCUAGGGGAGCAAACGGG